AGCUUUGCGCAGUGGCAGUAUCGUAGCCAAUGAGGUUUAUCCGAGGCGCGAUUAUUGCUAAUUGAAAGUACAAGCAGGGAUCCCUGGGUGGCGCAGCGGUUUGGCGCCUACCUUUGGCCUAGGGCGCGAUCCU
RNAcentral lists this small nuclear RNA (133 nucleotides) under Canis lupus familiaris (dog). RNAcentral's name for it is "U4 spliceosomal RNA (multiple genes)". The stretch from base 1 to 70 matches the Rfam family "U4 spliceosomal RNA". Rfam says of the family: U4 small nuclear RNA (U4 snRNA) is a component of the major U2-dependent spliceosome. The structure of U4 snRNA from yeast and human has been reported. Lineage: Eukaryota; Metazoa; Chordata; Mammalia; Carnivora; Canidae. The record is from RNAcentral.